CGUGAGCGGCGGACGGGUGAGUAACGCGUGGGUAACCUGCCUCAUACAGGGGGGUAACAGUUAGAAAUGACUGCUAAUACCGCAUAAGACCACAGCACCGCAUGGUGCGGGGGUAAAAACUCCGGUGGUAUGAGAUGGACCCGCGUCUGAUUAGCUAGUUGGUAAGGUAACGGCUUACCAAGGCGACGAUCAGUAGCCGACCUGAGAGGGUGACCGGCCACAUUGGGACUGAGACACGGCCCAA
RNAcentral lists this ribosomal RNA (244 nucleotides) under uncultured bacterium. Its description in RNAcentral is "partial 16S ribosomal RNA". It matches the Rfam family "Bacterial small subunit ribosomal RNA", at positions 90 to 334 of the family's 1533-position model. The record is from RNAcentral.